CAGGUGGGCGUGCGCACCGGUUGAAGCUGCUGGCUGGGACGGGGCAGGCGGUCGGCGCAGGCCCCUGGGCUCAGAGCGCUGUGCAUGGAUGCCUCUGUGUGUGUCCUGCGCUUAUUCACCUACUUCCUCGCCUACUCGUGCGUGUAUGCCUUCCUACACAUGCUGAUUUAUCUGUUCCACGGUCUCUUCCGGGAGGAAUAGGCCGACCCUUCCCCCGUCCAUCCCCCAUCCCAGGAGAGAGUGAAGCCCAGGCAGAGUCAGGAGCAGCGCAGCCAUUGGGCGCCCGAGGUGAUGGUUAAAGCAGCUUUCUCGAGGAUAUAAUUAAUUUCAUGACAACCAGUUGUGAUGUCAAGCAUUGAGCAGUCCUUUGAGAGAUGAGGAAACCAGAGUCACAGAGUAUCUGAAGCAGGAUUGAACAUGGGUCUUCGAUUCCGGGUCUGCCUCUUUAUCCACUGUGCCGUCUGCCUACCUCAUGGCCCCAGGACAUUGUAUUCUGGAUCUGUCUAUCUAGCAUACACAAGCUUUCUUUCAAAUCCUCCAGAAAUCUAGAUGAUUCACCAGAGGAACCCAUCUGAAAAAAACAGAUUAAAACAAAAGGCAUCAAGCAUUGACUGGGUCGUGAUAACUUCUCUGCCUCAGCCCAGAAGACACUGCUUUGGGUAAGAUGUGAGGCCUCUGUGGCAUUCUCCCAACGUGGACCUUUCUCAGUGGUUGCGGACAUCCUCGGAGGCUCCUCUGGGCAUCCGUGACUUAAAAAUGCCUCUAUUUGAUUGCUUGUCAUGGCUUUAGAUCUUGUAUUUUCAAAUGGUUGACAAUCGGUAUUUGCCUUUCUCUGACACUCUCUAAAUUUAAUGAA
Phascolarctos cinereus (koala) is the source of this 856-nucleotide non-coding RNA. NCBI's taxonomy places the organism in Eukaryota, Metazoa, Chordata, Mammalia, Diprotodontia, Phascolarctidae. The record is from RefSeq and is a predicted model, not a curated record.